UACGUAGGGUGCAAGCGUUGUCCGGAAUUAUUGGGCGUAAAGAGCUCGUAGGCGGUCUGUCGCGUCUGCUGUGAAAACUCAGGGCUUAACCCUGAGCUUGCAGUGGAUACGGGCAGGCUAGAGUUCGGUAGGGGAGACUGGAAUUCCUGGUGUAGCGGUGAAAUGCGCAGAUAUCAGGAGGAACACCGGUGGCGAAGGCGGGUCUCUGGGCCGAUACUGACGCUGAGGAGCGAAAGCGUGGGGAGCGAACAGG
Molecule: ribosomal RNA, 253 nt
Filed under: uncultured bacterium
Lineage: Bacteria
Description: partial 16S ribosomal RNA
Rfam family: Bacterial small subunit ribosomal RNA
Source: RNAcentral